UGGGGAAUUUUGGACAAUGGGCGAAAGCCUGAUCCAGCAAUGCCGCGUGUGUGAAGAAGGCCUUCGGGUUGUAAAGCACUUUUGUCCGGAAAGAAAUCCUUGGCUCUAAUACAGUCGGGGGAUGACGGUACCGGAAGAAUAAGCACCGGCUAACUACGUGCCAGCAGCCGCGGUAAUACGUAGGGUGCAGGCGUUAAUCGGAAUUACUGGGCGUAAAGCGUGCGCAGGCGGUUUGCUAAGACCGAUGUGAAAUCCCCGGGCUCAACCUGGGAACUGCAUUGGUGACUGGCAGGCUAGAGUAUGGCAGAGGGGGGUAGAAUUCCACGUGUAGCAGUGAAAUGCGUAGAGAUGUGGAGGAAUACCGAUGGCGAAGGCAGCCCCCUGGGCCAAUACUGACGCUCAUGCACGAAAGCGUGGGGAGCAAACAGGAUUAGAUACCCUGGUAGUCCACGCCCUAAACGAUGUCAACUAGUUGUUGGGGAUUCAUUUCCUUAGUAACGUAGCUAACGCGUGAAGUUGACCGCCUGGGGAGUACGGUCGCAAGAUUAAAACUUAAAUGAAUUGACGGGGUCAUAGCUGUUUCCU
RNAcentral lists this ribosomal RNA (585 nucleotides) under uncultured bacterium. RNAcentral's name for it is "partial 16S ribosomal RNA". It matches the Rfam family "Bacterial small subunit ribosomal RNA", at positions 355 to 1375 of the family's 1533-position model. The record is from RNAcentral.